This 494-nucleotide ribosomal RNA is filed under the name uncultured bacterium. RNAcentral describes it as "partial 16S ribosomal RNA". It matches the Rfam family "Bacterial small subunit ribosomal RNA", at positions 355 to 861 of the family's 1533-position model. The record is from RNAcentral.
UGGGGAAUAUUGCACAAUGGGCGAAAGCCUGAUGCAGCAACGCCGCGUGAGUGAUGAAGGCCUUCGGGUUGUAAAGCUCUGUCUUUUGGGACGAUAAUGACGGUACCAAAGGAGGAAGCCACGGCUAACUACGUGCCAGCAGCCGCGGUAAUACGUAGGUGGCAAGCGUUGUCCGGAUUUACUGGGCGUAAAGGAUGCGUAGGCGGAUUUUUAAGUGAGAUGUGAAAACCCUAAGCUUAACUUGGGGACUGCAUUUCAUACUGGAAAUCUAGAGUGCGGGAGAGGAGAAUGGAAUUCCUAGUGUAGCGGUGAAAUGCGUAGAGAUUAGGAAGAACACCAGUGGCGAAGGCGAUUCUCUGGACCGUAACUGACGCUGAGGCAUGAAAGCGUGGGUAUAGCAAACAGGAUUAGAUACCCUGGUAGUCCACGCCGUAAACGAUGAGUACUAGGUGUAGGGGGGUUAUCGACCCCUUCUGUGCCGCAGUUAACACGAU